This is a long non-coding RNA of Haliotis rubra (blacklip abalone), 467 nucleotides long. RefSeq lists it as uncharacterized. The record is from RefSeq and is a predicted model, not a curated record. The transcript has 3 exons. NCBI's taxonomy places the organism in Eukaryota, Metazoa, Mollusca, Gastropoda, Lepetellida, Haliotidae.
CACCGGGGAACAUUAGCUGAAAGCUGAUACCUUCAGGAUGAGGAACGUGUUAGUUUUUGUGUUGGUCAUUGUGGUGCUGUGUGUUGCUCAGGCCACCUACCCACCACGAGGCCGGUAUUACCCCAGACCUUACGGGUAUGGGCACCCAGGAUAUUACCCCAAGCAAUACCCCAACUAUUACCCCAACUAUUACCCUCGCCCUUUCCCCCACCGUUAUCCUCCGUAUCCCCGUGACGUUAAGGUCAUAGUGAACACGGAUCAACACAUGGUCAACAACAACAGACCAGGAAGGUUUGGUCAAGGCGAACAAGAUUCUAGUGGCAUCAAUGCUGCUGACAUAUAUAUUUUGAGUCACCCCAAAAGAAAGUCCAAAACUAUCGUCUCCAAGAACUAGUGAAGAGGAAUGAUGUAACAAAACUUCGGGUGUGUGAGCACACCGUGACACAAUAAAUCAUUGUGACAUUAAA